AAGGCUGUGGGGGCAAAGAUGGGCCAGGGUAGGGUGGGGCAGGAAUCACCUCUAACAAACCCAACUCCCAGGCGUUGAGAACGGACAGGAGCGGCACCGUUACAAACAGUCCAAAAGCCAGAAUGUGUCACAGAGAAGGGAAAAUGACAUAAAUGCGAAAGGGGCGGAGAGAGAUGGAAAGGAAAGAGGAGCCCACGCUGAGGCACCUUCCUUGAUCUAAGGCAGUGGUUCUCAAAGUGGCCCGGACUGGCAGCAUCCGCAUCUGCACCACCUAAGAACUUGUUUAAAAUGCAAAUUACUGGAUUCUACCCCAGAGUUAGGGAGCCAGGAACUCUGAGGAUUGGGUUGACCCAUCUGUUUUAACAAGCCCUCCAGGUAAAUAUGAUACAUGUAAGGCUUCCUGUCUUCUCUGGGGGCUGCACCUGGGCCUGUCGAGAAAGGACGAUUGUGUAAACAGGGUCAAAGAGUGGACCAAACCCCACAUUUACACCUAUAUCUUCUACCUUUCCUCCUGUCUGCUCCCUGCCCCACUCAGGAUGGAAGUUGAGAGAAAGCAGACUAGAAAGACCUAGUGCUUGGACUGCGGACCCAGACUACCUAGAAUUUAAUCUUGCCUCUCCACUUACUAGCUAUAUGACCCAGGGCAGAUUAUUUAACCACAACUUCCCUUUCUAUAAAAUGGGGACAAUAAUUACCUAUUUAAUAGUGCUGCUGUGGAGAUUAAGUUAGUUCCUAUUGGAAAGCAAUGCAGACAAUAUCUGACAGGUAAUAAGCACUAUGUAAGUAUUUGAAAGUAAAUACAUGAGCCUUUUCCUCCCCCUCUACUUUCAUUUACAGUGAAGGCUCUAGACAGUGGUCACUAAUAAGGUUCACCAAUAUCCAGUUGCCUUUUCCUGCUCUUUGAAAUUAGUGUGGCUAUGCAACUAAUGUUGGUCAAUGAAAUAGGAAUGAAGGGAAAGGGUGUUGCUUCCAGGUGAGCAUCUGAGUACUGGGACUUAUUUUCUCAUCCUCCUCUUCCCCUGCCUCAGUGACUAAGGAAUGCCAAGAAGUACAAGGAGAAUACCUGCCCAGAAGUGUUACCUAGACCUGCAGUAGACAUUAUACAAGCAGGAAGUAAACCUUUGUUGUGUUAAGACACUGACAAUCCAGCACUAUGUGUUACUGUGCCAUAACCUAGUCUAUCUAUGCUGGCUGGCACAGGUUAUUAACUUGCUUUGGGAACAGGAGAUUAGAGGAACAAUAGUUCUCCAUCCUGACUGCACAUUACAGUCACCCAGAGACUUUAUAAGAAUCCCAAAGCCACAGCCCAGACCAAGUAAAUCAAAAUUCCAAAGGAUGAGACACAGGCAUUACUAUUUUUUUUAAGUUCCCCAGGUGAUUUCUUUUUUCUUUUUUUCUUUUUUUUUUUUUUUUUUUUUUUUUUGAAAUGGAGUCUUGUUCUCUCACCAGGCUGGAGUGCAGUGGCACAAUCUCGGCUCACUGCAACCUCCACCUCUUGGGUUCAAGCAAUUCUCCUACCUCAGCCUCCUAAGUAGCUGGGACUACAGGCACGCGCCAACACACCCCACUAAUUUUUGUAUUUUUAGUACAAUCAGGGUUUCACCAUGUUGGCCAGGAUGGUCUCCAUUUCUUGACCUCGUGAUCCGCCCGCCUCAGCCUCCCAAAGUGCUGGGAUUACAGGCGUGAGCCACUGCACCCGGCCGUGAUUUCUAUAUGUAUCAAGGUUUAGAACCACUGACCUAGAACAAGGCUGCAUCCUAUGGGAAUCUCUGGGGUUUCAAUACUGUAUCAAAAUCCUCAGCUCCCAAGGAUCAUACCUUGAGUUUCACCUCUCCCACAAAGGCUCUAAUACAUGCAACUGUGAGUUUCUGUGUACUUGUAUCUGCCGAGGAGCCCAGAAGGGAACCACAAAAUCUCCCAGACUAAUGCAUCCUACAUUGAAGGCCUCCUGACUCAACUUGACCUUCUCAGUGCAGCCCAAUCCUUCUGUACAUCCUGAUCAGCUGCGUCUUCCAUUAUCUGUGUAGCUUUCUCAAAGCAUCUUGUCCCUUUUCACACCUCAGUUGUCACUUUUUCACCUCCCAGCCUCAGAAGAUGACUGAUAGAAAACAGGUCAUGCUGUCAAUUCUUAGACUUCCUGCCAUUGCUCUCUCUUCCUUUUCUUCUUUCUUCCAAACAAAUAGAAAGCAAUUUCUCUCACCAUCCCUCCAUCACUGAUCUGGAUCCUAUUCAUUUGGGCCUCUGGAAAGACCUCACUUUACUGACUGUCCCCUCAUUCCUCACUUUGACAAUUAACAUGCUUUAAAAAUGCUUUCUUAACUUGUUAUUUCCCUCAAGCUUUGGCUCUGUCUCUCCCAUCUAUUCACGGUCAAUCUUCUGAGGAGUCUGUGAUAGGUGUCUCCACUUUCUUGCCUCCUGUUCACUCCUUAACCCCAACAAAUUGGCCUCCUUUCAAUUGUCUUCCUGAAAUCGCCUCCCCAAAGGUAAUUUUUAAAUUGCCAAAUCCAGUGAGGCAAUUUCAUUGUUAAUUUACUUUACCCAGCUAUGACAUUUGAACCUGUUACUAAUCCUUUCUUCUUGAAACAUUCUCCUACCUUAGACUGACUGGUUUUGAAUACUGAUGCUAUAAUCUCAGCAUUUUCAUUAACCUAUCUGUGCCUCAGGGGGUUUUUUCUGUAAAAAAAUUAAUAAUGCCUACCUCAUAUAGUUAAUGUAAGAAUUAAAUGAGAUAGUACAGGUGGAGAAUCUUGCAUCCAGCUUUCUGAAAUAGAAAACUCUGACAUCCUACCAGGUUUUUUUUUCACAAUUUUUUUACCAACUCAUUUGCCAGUAAAACCUGACCUGAACUGUUAGGUGGCUAUUUGUACUCUUCUUUAUCCCAUCUGCUGUGGAUAUUGACC
Papio anubis (olive baboon) is the source of this 2900-nucleotide long non-coding RNA. Lineage: Eukaryota; Metazoa; Chordata; Mammalia; Primates; Cercopithecidae. The record is from Ensembl.